This 301-nucleotide ribosomal RNA is filed under the name uncultured bacterium. Its description in RNAcentral is "partial 16S ribosomal RNA". It matches the Rfam family "Bacterial small subunit ribosomal RNA", at positions 509 to 807 of the family's 1533-position model. The record is from RNAcentral.
CAGCAGCCGCGGUAACACGUAGGGUGCGAGCGUUAAUCGGAAUUACUGGGCGUAAAGCGUGCGCAGGCGGUUGUGUAAGACAGGUGUGAAAUCCCCGGGCUUAACCUGGGAACUGCGCUUGUGACUGCACAGCUAGAGUAUGGCAGAGGGGGGUGGAAUUCCACGCGUAGCAGUGAAAUGCGUAGAGAUGUGGAGGAACACCGAUGGCGAAGGCAGCCCCCUGGGCCAAUACUGACGCUCAUGCACGAAAGCGUGGGGAGCAAACAGGAUUAGAUACCCGGGUAGUCCCUGUCUCUUAUAC